UGGACGAACGCCGAAAGAACGGCGGCCCGACUCGCACUAAACUGCGCAAGCAUGAUGUUCCCAAACUGUCGAUGAACCACAAGCACACGCGCCUUCAAUAGGCACGGCACCACGUCAUUCCGUCAGUUCAGGAAAUUGGGGGNNGGGAGGGAGUGUUAUCGACGACACCCCGAUCGUUCUCGGACGCACAGGCGGACGUCAGCGCGAUGGGAUUGACGAUCAUCAUGACCGUCGCAGGCAGCGCAAUCACGCACAUCAUGCCACAGCACUGCGCGCCCAAGACAUCAUGCUGACCGUUCGCGG
This 303-nucleotide unclassified non-coding RNA is filed under the name Hevea brasiliensis (rubber tree). The record is from RNAcentral. Lineage: Eukaryota; Viridiplantae; Streptophyta; Magnoliopsida; Malpighiales; Euphorbiaceae.